RNAcentral lists this ribosomal RNA (459 nucleotides) under uncultured bacterium. RNAcentral describes it as "partial 16S ribosomal RNA". It matches the Rfam family "Bacterial small subunit ribosomal RNA", at positions 338 to 795 of the family's 1533-position model. The record is from RNAcentral.
CCUACGGGGUGCUGCAGUGAGGAAUUUUGGUCAAUGGCCGGAAGGCUGAACCAGCCAAGCCGCAUGAGGGAGUACUGCGCAGAGCGUCGCAGACCUCUUUUGCCGGGGGUCAAAAGCCCGGCCUCGUCCGGUCCUGAGGGUCCCCGGAGAAAAAGCAUCGGCUAACCCCUUCCCAGCAGCCGCGUUAAUACGGAGGAUGCGAGCGUUAUCCGGAUUCUUUGGGUUUAAAGGGUGCGCAGGCGGGCCUUUAAGCCGGCGUUGAAAUCGCGGGGCUCAACCCCGCCGAGCCGUGGAACCUGGGGGCCUUGAGUGCGGCGGAGGCAUGCGGAAUGCGCGGUGUAGCGGUGAAAUGCAUAGAUAUCGCGCAGAACCCCGAUUGCGAAGGCAGCGUGCCGUGCCGCAACUGACGCUGAGGCACGAAAGCGCGGGGAUCGAACAGGAUUAGAUACCCUUGUAGUC